CUCCGCGUGUCUUAAAGGAUAAGACAUCUGACUUUGAAUCAGAAGAUUACUGAUUCGAACACUGUCGCGGAUU
Molecule: non-coding RNA, 73 nt
Organism: Caerostris darwini
Lineage: Eukaryota; Metazoa; Arthropoda; Arachnida; Araneae; Araneidae
Source: the annotation of a GenBank genome assembly